RNAcentral lists this non-coding RNA (774 nucleotides) under Abachrysa eureka. Lineage: Eukaryota; Metazoa; Arthropoda; Insecta; Neuroptera; Chrysopidae. The record is from RNAcentral.
AAAGUUUAAUUUUAGCUUAUAAUUUAUUAUAUUUAUAUUUUACAUGUAAAUUUUUGUGUGAAUAAUAAAGUUCUUAAUGAUAAAAUUUAUUAGUCGCAGUAUUUAAUAUUAAUAAUGAAAGAAAUUUUGAAUUAGUAAUAAAUUUUAUUAUAAGAUAAAUUUGUGCCAGCAUCUGCGGUUAUACAAAUUAUAAAAGUAAAUAUUAUUAGUAAUAGUUAAAUGAAAAGUUAUAAUUUUAAUAAUUUAAUUUUUAGGUUAAAUUAAAAUUUAAAUUUAAUAUAUUAUAAAUUAUUUUUGAAGCUAAUAAAAUUUUAAUAUAAACUAGGAUUAGAUACCCUAUUAUUGAAAUUAAAUUUAUAAAUACUAAGGUAGUAAUAGUUAUAUUCUUGAAACUUAAAAAAUUUGGCGGUAUUUUAGUCUAUUUAGAGGAACCUGUUCUGUAAUUGAUAAUCCACGAUAUAUUUUACUAAAAUUUAUCUAAUUUGUAUACCAUCGUUAUCAGAAUAUUUUAUAAGAAUUAAAUAUUCAAAUAAUAUAAUUUUAUUAUAUUUCAGAUCAAGGUGCAGUUAAUAUUUUAGAAGAAAUGGGUUACAAUAAAUUUAUUUAAAUGGAUUAAUAAUUGAAAUAUUAUUAUGAAAGUGGAUUUAAUAGUAAAUAAAAAUAUAUUUUUUUAUUGAUUUUAGCUCUAAAAUAUGUACAUAUCGCCCGUCGCUCUUUUUUUUAAUAAAGAUAAGUCGUAACAUAGUAGAUGUACUGGAAAGUGUAUCUAGAAUG